RNAcentral lists this ribosomal RNA (468 nucleotides) under uncultured bacterium. RNAcentral describes it as "partial 16S ribosomal RNA". It matches the Rfam family "Bacterial small subunit ribosomal RNA", at positions 28 to 507 of the family's 1533-position model. The record is from RNAcentral.
GACGAACGCUGGCGGCGUGCUUAACACAUGCAAGUCGAACGGAAAGGCCCUGCUUUUGUGGGGUGCUCGAGUGGCGAACGGGUGAGUAACACGUGAGUAACCUGCCCUUGACUUUGGGAUAACUUCAGGAAACUGGGGCUAAUACCGGAUAUGAGCUCCUGCUGCAUGGUGGGGGUUGGAAAGUUUCGGCGGUUGGGGAUGGACUCGCGGCUUAUCAGCUUGUUGGUGGGGUAGUGGCUUACCAAGGCUUUGACGGGUAGCCGGCCUGAGAGGGUGACCGGCCACAUUGGGACUGAGAGACGGCCCAGACUCCUACGGGAGGCAGCAGUGGGGAAUAUUGCACAAUGGGCGGAAGCCUGAUGCAGCAACGCCGCGUGCGGGAUGACGGCCUUCGGGUUGUAAACCGCUUUCGCCUGUGACGAAGAGGGAGUGACGGUAAUGGGUAAAGAAGCACCGGCUAACUACGUG